Long non-coding RNA from Catharus ustulatus (Swainson's thrush), 2055 nucleotides. RefSeq lists it as uncharacterized. The record is from RefSeq and is a predicted model, not a curated record. Lineage: Eukaryota; Metazoa; Chordata; Aves; Passeriformes; Turdidae. The transcript is spliced from 3 exons.
UUCCUCUCCUGUCCUGAUUUUUAAGGCCUGAAAGGUGCUUGACUGUCAAGAUGUUGUCUUGACUGCCGUAAUUAAUCUGUUUUGUAGCAACCAGACUGCUAGCCCCAAGUAGGAAAUGUAUGAGAUGAUGCUGGUGCCUAAGUUCAAUCAAGCAUCUCACGGUGGGUGCCUUAGUUCUGAGAGCUUCAGCAGAGGUACCAUUUUGCUUCAUUAUGUACAUAAACAGACUCCUGGAGUGAAUGGCCCUGCCCAUCUUUUGACAGUGUCUUUGCUGACAGGUGGAUGUUCUGUAUCGUUGGGUCUUAAGACAGCAAAGGAAAGACCAUCAAGGAGUGUUGCGAGAGGUAUUCAUUGGACUUCAGUUAAGAAAACUCAGCGUCUGCUCUCAGUGGGAUUGAUUAUUUGCCAUGUGUUUUUAGUCCAGGGACCAGAUCUCCUUCACAAACCUGAAGAUCAUGAAAGAGUUUAAUUUAUAAAGCCAUAGUUAAAGAUGAUGGUUUACAGCGUUGUUCAAUUGAAUCAAAACUUCCACAAGAAGGUGCCUCAAAGAAGAGACAAUCACAGCAUUGAUUUUUCAGGGUUCUCCUGUUUUCAUGCUUUAAACAAGCACUAUCUCAUAUGUACAGGAAGGCUGGAGAUGUGCAGCACAUCAACAUUACAAAGAGCCAACAAAACUGACUGCUUGUGGAGGUAAAAUAAAAUACUAGAGUUACAGUAUCCCCAGUAAGAUGAAUCAUCUAUUCUUUGCUUUUAAAUAUGUGCUUCAUGGACAACAAAAAAAAACCCUUGAAACCAAUCCUUUCAUCAUCUGAAGCAUAUUUUUUCAUUGACAUAUCACAACAAGAGGAAGUGCCAUGGUUAAGAGAUUACACCUUUGUCAUAUCCAGGGAAGGAUCAAAAGCAAGUUACUGUUCCUUCUGUCUUUCUCCCAAGCUAGAACAUUCUGUUUUCAGUAUAAUGUGCAGAAAUCUGUUUCUUUCAGCUUAUAAAAUAGACAUCUCUGGUAUAUGAAUCAAACAACCAAAGGCACCACUAUUUCUCCUAGCAGAAAGUAAUGACUGUGAGAAGAAAGCUCAUUAUUAAUUACCUAAAAGAAUGGCUUUCUGAAUGGAAAAACCAAAGAGUAACUUCAGAGAUCUGAGUCAACUUCAACAUUUUUUGAUCUAUGGCUAUGUCUGCAUUCUCAAGUGUAAGGGAGAGUGUAGAGCAAACAGUGGUGAGGACUGAGUCAGAGCUCUGAUUUUAUGUUGAAUUCUUUUUUUUCUUCUAUAUUUGGGCUUCCAUUACCUAUUUUGAUUCUAUUUAUAUAUUAUGGACUAACUGUGCAUUAGCAGUUGGAGAGCAUUAGUUGUGCUCUUGGAACAAAGCUUACAAUUUAGUCUUACCCAGAAGAAAUGCAGUUCAUGCACUCUGUGACUCCCUUCAUGAAGUCGUUUACCAAAAAAUGGUAAUGCAAGAGGACCCAUUGACUUCUGCAGAGAGGAGUCACUUCUUUCUCCUCCACAGACUAGGUCCUGCACAGAUCAAUCCUUCCCACAACUGCAACCACAGUAAUGAGCAAUUUCUACAAAUGGUGCAGAAACUGAGUGUGAUAGUUCAGACUGGAAGAGCCAGUAUCCUCUCUUUAAGGCAGAUACAGAACUGAAGAAAUGAUGAAGUGUGGUGAUCAACACUAAUGCAUUUCACAAAUGAUAUACAGCCUGAUGAAAUGACUUCUUGUGGUCAACUGGUCUUAGCUUCUGCUGUGUGCACUACAGUUCGCCCUGAUCUCAUCAUAAUCUCUUUUUGAGCAGGAACAUACUGGAAGGAAUGAUAAUAAUACCAUCUGUCCUCUGGUUUUUGAGAGAUAAUAAAAAGAUAAUUUAAUUGAAGUUGGACCACAGAUUUAUACAGCAGAAGUAAUUUCAGAAGAAAUUAGACCUAGCAGGAUCCUCUUUUCAGGAGAAAACAUUAAUUUCAUCAGAAAAUAUCACUUUAUGAAAAAGUACUUGUGAAGAGAAAAAAAACCCCUUGCAUAUUUUUUGCAUCAAUAUUUUGACAGAGCUUCAUCUUUCU